CACGCCGAGGGACCUACAAAGGCUUCUACAAAAAGCUGAGGCUCGAGGUUUCCUAGGAAUGAUUGGAAGCAUCGAUUGCAUGCACUGACAGUGGAAGAAUUGUCCUACUGCUUGGCAAGGAGAGUACGGGAAUUGGAAGGGCCAAAAAAAUAUAAUUUUGGUGGCCGUAGCUUCAUUCGACUGUUUGGUUUGGCAUGCCUUCUUCAAGGUUGCUUGAUCUCAGAAUGACCUCAAUGUCCUUGGUCAAUCCCCGGUGUUCGACCAGGUAUUGCGAGGUCAUUCUCCCCAGAUCACGUACCAAAUCAAC
This 307-nucleotide long non-coding RNA is filed under the name Prunus persica (peach). Its description in RNAcentral is "long non-coding RNA (PPER_LNC005692)". Lineage: Eukaryota; Viridiplantae; Streptophyta; Magnoliopsida; Rosales; Rosaceae. The record is from RNAcentral.